RNAcentral lists this ribosomal RNA (253 nucleotides) under uncultured bacterium. RNAcentral's name for it is "partial 16S ribosomal RNA". It matches the Rfam family "Bacterial small subunit ribosomal RNA", at positions 524 to 776 of the family's 1533-position model. The record is from RNAcentral.
UACGUAGGGUGCAAGCGUUGUCCGGAAUUACUGGGCGUAAAGAGCUCGUAGGCGGUUUGUCGCGUCGUCUGUGAAAACUCGAGGCUCAACCUCGAGCUUGCAGGCGAUACGGGCAGACUUGAGUACUGCAGGGGAGACUGGAAUUCCUGGUGUAGCGGUGAAAUGCGUAGAUAUCAGGAGGAACACCGGUGGCGAAAGCGCUCAUCUGGCCCAAUACUGACGCUGAAGCACGAAAGCUAGGGGAGCAAACGGG